Molecule: transfer RNA, 73 nt
Filed under: Stegodyphus mimosarum
Lineage: Eukaryota; Metazoa; Arthropoda; Arachnida; Araneae; Eresidae
Rfam family: tRNA
About the family: Transfer RNA (tRNA) molecules are approximately 80 nucleotides in length. Their secondary structure includes four short double-helical elements and three loops (D, anti-codon, and T loops).
Source: Rfam by way of RNAcentral
ACCUUCGUGGUGUAAUGGUUAGCACACUCGGCGGGUAUUCGAAAGGUCCUAGGUUCGAGUCCAGGCGAGGGCA